This 253-nucleotide ribosomal RNA is filed under the name uncultured bacterium. RNAcentral's name for it is "partial 16S ribosomal RNA". It matches the Rfam family "Bacterial small subunit ribosomal RNA", at positions 524 to 776 of the family's 1533-position model. The record is from RNAcentral.
UACAGAGGGUGCGAGCGUUAAUCGGAAUUACUGGGCGUAAAGGGUGCGUAGGUGGUUUACCAAGUCAGACGUGAAAACCCUGGGCUCAACCUAGGAAUGGCGUUUGAAACUAGUAAGCUAGAGGACAGGAGAGGGAAGUGGAAUUUCCGGUGUAGCGGUGAAAUGCGUAGAUAUCGGAAGGAACACCAGUGGCGAAGGCGACUUCCUGGCCUGUAACUGACACUGAGGCACGAAAGCGUGGGGAGCAAACAGG